This 497-nucleotide ribosomal RNA is filed under the name uncultured bacterium. Its description in RNAcentral is "partial 16S ribosomal RNA". It matches the Rfam family "Bacterial small subunit ribosomal RNA", at positions 28 to 507 of the family's 1533-position model. The record is from RNAcentral.
GAUGAACGCUGGCGGCGUGCCUAAUACAUGCAAGUCGAGCGAACAGACGAGGAGCUUGCUCCUCUGACGUUAGCGGCGGACGGGUGAGUAACACGUGGAUAACCUACCUAUAAGACUGGGAUAACUUCGGGAAACCGGAGCUAAUACCGGAUAACAUGUUGAACCGCAUGGUUCAAUAGUGAAAGACGGUUUUGCUGUCACUUAUAGAUGGAUCCGCGCCGCAUUAGCUAGUUGGUAAGGUAACGGCUUACCAAGGCGACGAUGCGUAGCCGACCUGAGAGGGUGAUCGGCCACACUGGAACUGAGACACGGUCCAGACUCCUACGGGAGGCAGCAGUAGGGAAUCUUCCGCAAUGGGCGAAAGCCUGACGGAGCAACGCCGCGUGAGUGAUGAAGGUCUUCGGAUCGUAAAACUCUGUUAUUAGGGAAGAACAAAUGUGUAAGUAACUAUGCACGUCUUGACGGUACCUAAUCAGAAAGCCACGGCUAACUACGUG